This 811-nucleotide ribosomal RNA is filed under the name uncultured bacterium. RNAcentral describes it as "bacterial SSU rRNA". It matches the Rfam family "Bacterial small subunit ribosomal RNA", at positions 58 to 861 of the family's 1533-position model. The record is from RNAcentral.
CAAGUCGUGCGCGAAAGUGUAGCAAUACAUGAGUAAAGCGGCGAACUGGUGAGUAACAGGUGGGUAACGUGCCCUGAAGUGGGGGAUAACACCGGGAAACCGGUGCUAAUACCGCAUGUGGUGUCAAAAACCUUGGUUUUUGCCAUUAAAGCAGUAAUGCGCUUCAGGAUCGGCCCGUCCCCGAUUAGCUAGUUGGUGAGGUAAUGGCUCACCAAGGCAACGAUCGGUAGCUGGUCUGAGAGGAUGGUCAGCCACACUGGAACUGAGAUACGGUCCAGACUCCUACGGGGGGCAGCAGUCUAGAGGCUUCGUCAAUGGGGGCAACCCUGAACGAGCGACGCCGCGUGCGGGAUUGAAGGCCUUCGGGUCGUAAACCGCUGUCGAGUGGGAAGAAUGCCCUGAUGGCGAAUCAGGGAGGGACGGUACCACUAUAGGAAGCCCCGGCUAACUCCGUGCCAGCAGCCGCGGUAAUACGGAGGGGGCAAGCGUUGUUCGGAUUUACUGGGCGUAAAGGGUGUGUAGGCGGCUGGAUAAGUCUGGCGUGAAAUCUUCACCGCUUAACGGGAAGGGGUCGCUGGAAACUGUUCAGCUUGAGUAUGGUAGAGGCAAGCGGAAUUCCUGGUGUAGCGGUGGAAUGUGUAGAUAUCAGGAAGAACACCGGUGGCGAAGGCGGCUUGCUGGGCCAUCACUGACGCUGAGACACGAAAGCGUGGGGAGCAAACGGGAUUAGAUACCCCGGUAGUCCACGCUGUAAGCGGUGCGCACUAGGUGUGGGGGGUAUCGACUCCUCCCGUGCCGACGUUAACACAUU